This 1380-nucleotide long non-coding RNA is filed under the name Equus caballus (horse). RNAcentral's name for it is "lncRNA (ENSECAG00000059225.1)". The record is from RNAcentral. Lineage: Eukaryota; Metazoa; Chordata; Mammalia; Perissodactyla; Equidae.
CCACAAACAUAGAUGCCGGGGUCCCGCCCCGGCGGAGUCCAGGUUCCUGAGGGAUGGACGGCGUCGGCGCGAUGAGGGAGGGGGAAAAUAAAGGGGACGUGAGACUUGGGUUGGUGUUAGCAAGUCCGACUUUACUGUGCACAAGUGUCGUUUAUAUAUUUUUCAGGAUUAGUACAGAAAUAGUUUUACAAAUAUUCUCAGAGAGAUAAGGAAGUAAGAAACGAGCACAAGAAUAUUUAUUAGCAUUCCAUUCUAUAGAGCAUAAGGUUAAUGAUCGUCUUCUCUGCAAUUAACUAGUGUUUGUUGUCUCUAAACUAAAGGAGAUAGGUACCUAGGCAUCUGUUGUAAUUCACGGUAAAGUUAAAUCAAAGAGAGAAGGUCCAGGCCUCCGGACAGGGCAGCAGCCCGUCUGGUUACAUCCUGGUGGAGCCAUCCCUGCCUCCCUCAAUCAUUUACGCCAUUAGUGUAGAUGGUUAAUGGGAACAAAAGGUGACUCCAGGGUGUCUUAUCCCCAGGGCUAUCUGCAUUCUCAGCGGGCAGUUAAACAUCUUUACUUUUUCGCGCCCUUUAGGGGGUGGAAGCAUUCCUUUGUCUUUUAGAUUGUAGAGCUAACGGUCCCUUAAGUACACUGCCGGAGAAAGUAUCAUAUUGUUAGUAAAGUAAAGGGCUGAAAAGCUAAGCUAAACUAUAAAUCUUCAAGAAUAAAAAAGAGAAAUAAGUAUACACAUAACCUUGAUAGAAAGCAUGCAUAUAAUUCAGAAAAUAUCGGGGGUGUUGGCCGGCCAUUCUUCACCGAGGGGCAUUCUUGCACCCCUCGGCCCUUCUACUCACCAAUUAUUUAUUAUUUAUUGCUUUUAGGAGAAAACCUCUAUAACAUUUUAACAGAAAGCAGAAGGUCAAGAAUAAUAUAUAGAUACUUCUUGAUCAUCCAAUUAACCAGCAAACUUAGAAGGACGAUGCAUAUGUAUAUUUAGACAAAGAACUGGAGGGAGAAGGAAACAUUAACCAGAUGGAGGCCAUAAACCUAAUUCGACAUCUUAUCUGGGCAGGAUUCCUUUCUGAUUGUCUCACAUGGGACUGUGUGCUCCUCCAUUAAUUAACUGAAAAAUAUCUUGAAAGUUACCUGCAGGUGGUCACAUUCUCUUACUGUAUCUAAUUUUCCCGGGAGGUAGUGCCUCCCAAGCAGCCACCCAAAGGAGUGAAAACUGGAGGUUAAGAAAGGAAAAGGAAUGAAGGGCAAUUAGAAGCAGCACAGGUUUCAGAACUAUGUGAGGGGCUGGCCGGUUAUUCUUCACCAAGGGGCGGCCCUGCACCCCUCGGCGUUAAUCAGCUGGACCCUGUCAAACAGCCGAUCAAAUGAUGUAGCCACGGCUCCCAGCA